GAUGAAGAACGUAGCGAAAUGCGAUAAGUAAUGUGAAUUGCAGAAUUCAGUGAAUCAUCGAAUCUUUGAACGCACAUUGCGCCCGCCAGUAUUCUGGCGGGCAUGCCUGUCUGAGCGUCAUUUCAACCCUCAUGCCCCUAGGGCGUGGUGUUGGGGAUCGGCCAAAGCCCGCGAGGGACGGCCGGCCCCUAAAUCUAGUGGCGGACCCGUCGUGGCCUCCUCUGCGAAGUAGUGAUAUUCCGCAUCGGAGAGCGACGAGCUCCUGCCGUUAAACCCCCAACUUUCCAAGGUUGACCUCAGAUCAGGUAGGAAUACCCGCUGAACUUAAGCAUAUCAAUAAGCGGAGGA
Molecule: unclassified non-coding RNA, 348 nt
Filed under: soil metagenome
Description: partial contains 5.8S ribosomal RNA, internal transcribed spacer 2, and large subunit ribosomal RNA
Rfam family: 5.8S ribosomal RNA (bases 1-120)
Source: RNAcentral